This 269-nucleotide ribosomal RNA is filed under the name uncultured prokaryote. RNAcentral describes it as "partial 16S ribosomal RNA". It matches the Rfam family "Bacterial small subunit ribosomal RNA", at positions 524 to 792 of the family's 1533-position model. The record is from RNAcentral.
GACGAAGGUGGCGAGCGUUGUUCGGUGUCACUGGGCUUAAAGAGUGUGUAGGCGGAAAGGUAAGCGUCCUGUGAAAGCCCCCGGCUUAACCGGGGAACUGCGCGGCGAACUGCCUUUCUUGAGGCAAGUAGGGGUGCAUGGAACUCUUGGUGGAGCGGUGGAAUGCGUAGAUAUCAAGAGGAACGCCAGUGGUGAAAACGGUGCACUGGGCUUGGCCUGACGCUGAGACACGAAAGCGUGGGGAGCGAACGGGAUUAGAUACCCCCGUA